This 468-nucleotide ribosomal RNA is filed under the name uncultured bacterium. RNAcentral describes it as "partial 16S ribosomal RNA". It matches the Rfam family "Bacterial small subunit ribosomal RNA", at positions 28 to 507 of the family's 1533-position model. The record is from RNAcentral.
GACGAACGCUGGCGGCGUGCUUAACACAUGCAAGUCGAACGGAAAGGCCCUGCUUUUGUGGGGUGCUCGAGUGGCGAACGGGUGAGUAACACGUGAGUAACCUGCCCUUGACUUUGGGAUAACUUCAGGAAACUGGGGCUAAUACCGGAUAGGAGCUCCUGCUGCAUGGUGGGGGUUGGAAAGUUUCGGCGGUUGGGGAUGGACUCGCGGCUUAUCAGCUUGUUGGUGGGGUAGUGGCUUACCAAGGAUUUGACGGGUAGCCGGCCUGAGAGGGUGACCGGGGACAAUGGGACUGAGAUACGGACCAGACGGCAACGGGAGGCAGCAGUGGGGAAUAUUGCAGAAUGGGCGGAAGCCUGAUGAAGAAACGGCGCGUGCGGGAUGACGGCCUUCGGGUUGUAAACAGAUUUAGCAUGUGACGAAGCGUGAGUGACGGUAAUGGGUAAAGAAGCAACGGCUAACUACGUG